Molecule: ribosomal RNA, 445 nt
Filed under: uncultured bacterium
Lineage: Bacteria
Description: partial 16S ribosomal RNA
Rfam family: Bacterial small subunit ribosomal RNA
Source: RNAcentral
GUGAGGAAUAUUGGUCAAUGGGCGAAAGCCUGAACCAGCCAUGUCGCGUGAAGGAUGAAGGUCCUAUGGAUUGUAAACUUCUUUUGCAGGAGGGUAAAGUGAGCUACGUGUAGUUCAUUGCAAGUACCCUGCGAAUAAGCAUCGGCUAACUCCGUGCCAGCAGCCGCGGUAAUACGGAGGAUGCGAGCGUUAUCCGGAUUUAUUGGGUUUAAAGGGUGCGUAGGCGGACUAAUUAGUCAGCGGUGAAAUUUUGCGGCUCAACCGUAAAACUGCCGUUGAAACUGUUAGGCUUGAGUGCGGUAGAGGUAGGCGGAAUGUGUGGUGUAGCGGUGAAAUGCUUAGAUAUCACACAGAACACCGAUUGCGUAGGCAGCUUACUGGAGCGCAACUGACGCUGAGGCACGAAAGCGUGGGGAUCGAACAGGAUUAGAUACCCUGGUAGUCC